RNAcentral lists this ribosomal RNA (431 nucleotides) under uncultured bacterium. RNAcentral's name for it is "bacterial SSU rRNA". It matches the Rfam family "Bacterial small subunit ribosomal RNA", at positions 96 to 524 of the family's 1533-position model. The record is from RNAcentral.
CGGCGAACGGGUGAGUAACACGUAUGCAAUCUGUCUUGUACUGGGAAAUAGCCCUUGGAAACGGGGAUUAAUAUCCCAUAAAAUCUUAUCAGCACAUGCUGGCAAGAUGAAAGCUCCGGCGGUACAAAAUGAGCAUGCGUCCCAUUAGCUUGUUGGUGAGGUAAUAGCUCACCAAAGCUACGAUGGGUAGGGGUUCUGAGAGGAAGAUCCCCCACACUGGCACUGAGAUACGGGCCAGACUCCUACGGGAGGCAGCAGUAGGGAAUAUUGGUCAAUGGGCGCAAGCCUGAACCAGCCAUGUCGCGUGCAGGAUGAAGGCCCUCAGGGUUGUAAACUGCUUUUGUAUGGGAAUAAAAAAGCCCCUUGCGAGGGCUAUUGAAGGUACCAUAAGAAUAAGCACCGGCUAACUCCGUGCCAGCAGCCGCGGUAAG